Molecule: long non-coding RNA, 727 nt
Organism: Magallana angulata
Lineage: Eukaryota; Metazoa; Mollusca; Bivalvia; Ostreida; Ostreidae
Exons: 4
Source: RefSeq, a predicted model, not a curated record
UCCCACAACUCAAAAUCUAUUUUUAGAACAUCGCGUCAAAGCUACUAGUUUUGAACAUUUUGUCUAUCUAUAAACAUCCAGCGGGGUGUCCCACAAAACGGUUUUGUGAUGCACGCAAUGCAUUGUUGGAUAUCAAUGGCGGAGUACAGCAGUAACUUGGCAUUGAUAAGUAUGAAUCUUCCAAAAGCUUGGAAAGCACAUUAUUUAAUGAUGCAACCUCAGACAAGCCCAAAAAUAAUGCUGUUAUGAAAUUAAUGUUGAACAACUACCCAUGGAAGCUUUGACUCUUUGCAUGGAGGAAUAUUGAUAGACAGUAGGAGAUUAGAUAUGACUUUGGACUCUGUUGCAGCACUGUGAUGCACGUUCCAUAGAUUCUUCUGAACACUGCACUGAUUCAUCAGCUGUCAGACAUGAACAGAUUUAUAACAGAGAGCAUUCUAGAGAGGGACACAAUGGUAACUCAUGUAGAUGUUCCACUAACUAGUUAAGAUGGGCUCUUAACUGAUACUACAGUCUACUCAGGACCAUGUAACUUCACAUGUUCAACAGCUUUGGCAUUUUACUACAGGGAGGAAUUUGAAGGCAAAUCCUGUUGAAGCACACCCAGAUGUUCCACAGAUUCUGCAGAACAGUGAAGAUCUGUUGCAGCACAUAAUUACCGUAUAUACUUGUUCAACAGAUUCAACAGGUCAUAAAGGACCAUGUUGCAGAAUAUGUUCAACAGCCU